UUUAAAAUUGUUUUACCCAGGGGCUAAACCUAACCGUUGCGUUGGUAGCUGAAGGUACCUGGAGAAUAAGCAUCGGCUUAUUCCGUGCCAGCAGCCGCGGUAAUACGGAGGAUGCGAGCGUUAUCCGGAUUUACUGGGUUUAAAGGGUGCGCAGGCGGUUGUUUAAGUCAGGGGUGAAAGCCCUAUGCUCAACAUAGGGAUUGCCUUUGAUACUGAACGGCUAGAGUGAAGAUGGAGUGGGUGGAAUGUGUUGUGUAGCGGUGAAAUGCAUAGAUAUAACACAGAACACCGAUCGCGAAGGCAGCUCACUAAUUUUCAACUGACGCUCAUGCACGAAAGCGUGGGGAUCAAACAGGAUUAGAUACCCUGGUAGUCCACGCUGUAAACGAUGAUCACUAGCUGUUGGUACGCUGAAGUAUCAGUGGCUAAGCGAAAGUGAUAAGUGAUCCACCUGGGGAGUACGACCGCAAGGUUGAAACUCAAAGGAAUUGACGGGGGCCCGCACAAGCGGAGGAGCAUGUGGUUUAAUUCGAUGAUACGCGAGGAACCUUACCAGGGCUCGAACGCAGGGGGGAUAUACCUGAAAGGGUAUAGCCAGCGAUGGUCGCCUGCGAGGUGCUGCAUGGUUGUCGUCAGCUCGUGCCGUGAGGUGUCAGGUUAAGUCCUAUAACGAGCGCAACCCUUAUCCAUAGUUGCCAGCGGGUAAAGCCGGGGACUCUAUGGGAACUGCCUGCGCAAGCAGAGAGGAAGGAGGGGAUGACGUCAAAUCAGCACGGCCCUUAUGUCCUGGGCUACACACGUGCUACAAUGGUCGGUACAGAGGGCAGCGACCACGUGAGUGGGAGCCAAUCCUUAAAAGCCGAUCUCAGUUCGGAUUGGAGUCUGCAACCCGACUCCAUGAAGUUGGAUUCGCUAGUAAUCGCGCAUCAGCCAUGGCGCGGUGAAUACGUUCCCGGGCCUUGUACACACCGCCCGUCAAGCCAUGGGAGCUGGGGGUACCUGAAGUUCGUGACCCGCGAGGGAGCGACCUAGGGUAAACUCAGUGACUGGGGCUAAGUCGUAACAAGGUAGCCGUAGAAU
Molecule: ribosomal RNA, 1080 nt
Filed under: uncultured bacterium
Lineage: Bacteria
Description: bacterial SSU rRNA
Rfam family: Bacterial small subunit ribosomal RNA
Source: RNAcentral